GACGAACGCUGGCGGCGUGCCUAAUACAUGCAAGUUGAGCGCUGAAGGUUGGUACUUGUACCGACUGGAUGAGCAGCGAACGGGUGAGUAACGCGUGGGGAAUCUGCCUUUGAGCGGGGGACAACAUUUGGAAACGAAUGCUAAUACCGCAUAAAAACUUUAAACACAAGUUUUAAGUUUGAAAGAUGCAAUUGCAUCACUCAAAGAUGAUCCCGCGUUGUAUUAGCUAGUUGGUGAGGUAAAGGCUCACCAAGGCGAUGAUACAUAGCCGACCUGAGAGGGUGAUCGGCCACAUUGGGACUGAGACACGGCCCAAACUCCUACGGGAGGCAGCAGUAGGGAAUCUUCGGCAAGGGACGAAAGUCUGACCGAGCAACGCCGCGUGAGUGAAGAAGGUUGUCGGAUCGUAAAACUCUGUUGGUAGAGAAGAACGUUGGUGAGAGUGGAAAGCUCAUCAAGUGACGGUAACUACCCAGAAAGGGACGGCUAACUACGUG
This 497-nucleotide ribosomal RNA is filed under the name uncultured bacterium. Its description in RNAcentral is "partial 16S ribosomal RNA". It matches the Rfam family "Bacterial small subunit ribosomal RNA", at positions 28 to 507 of the family's 1533-position model. The record is from RNAcentral.